GUCAGGAUGGCCGAGCGGUCUAAGGCGCUGUGUUCAGGUCGCAGUCUCCAAUGGAGGCGUGGGUUCAAAUCCCACUUCUGACA
This 83-nucleotide transfer RNA is filed under the name Danionella translucida. It matches the Rfam family "tRNA". Rfam says of the family: Transfer RNA (tRNA) molecules are approximately 80 nucleotides in length. Their secondary structure includes four short double-helical elements and three loops (D, anti-codon, and T loops). Further hydrogen bonds mediate the characteristic L-shaped molecular structure. tRNAs have two regions of fundamental functional importance: the anti-codon, which is responsible for specific mRNA codon recognition, and the 3' end, to which the tRNAs corresponding amino acid is attached (by aminoacyl-tRNA synthetases). tRNAs cope with the degeneracy of the genetic code in two manners: having more than one tRNA (with a specific anti-codon) for a particular amino acid; and 'wobble' base-pairing, i.e. permitting non-standard base-pairing at the 3rd anti-codon position. Lineage: Eukaryota; Metazoa; Chordata; Actinopteri; Cypriniformes; Danionidae. The record is from Rfam by way of RNAcentral. RNAcentral also lists the same sequence under 1 other name.